Paramuricea clavata is the source of this 525-nucleotide non-coding RNA. NCBI's taxonomy places the organism in Eukaryota, Metazoa, Cnidaria, Anthozoa, Malacalcyonacea, Plexauridae. The record is from the annotation of a GenBank genome assembly.
GCCACCGUCUUCCUGUAUAUGUAUUUUUUAUGAAAUGUUUUGCUUGUUUUUGGAUUUUUUCCCGUUCGUUUUCCCCCAUCACUUUUGGAAUGGUCCUGUCGGUCCAUUUCAUAUAUCUGUACUGGUAUACGUUUAUAUAUAUACCGCUAUAGUCACAUGAAUAUUAAUUGUGCAUGUUGUCUACAACAGGCCGCCGCUCCGGCCAUUUACUGUUCGGGAUACUCCGGAUAAUCGAACCGAAAACGGUCACAUCCCAUGCAUGGCUAUUCUGGCUGCCCCCUUCUUUCGAGUCAUAUGACUGUUCUGGCUGUCCCUACUCCGAACAGUAAAUGGAACAGCCCGCAUGCAAUUCACUGACCAUUAACGUCAAUAACCGGCAAUUUUUGGUCCAAUCAUCUAUUCAUGACAUUACACUGACAAUGGUUAAUUUAAAAUGGUUGAGUGGAGAAACUAUACGCAUGUGACGAUAAACGUGGUCAUGGAUGAAUAAGUUGUAUUUCACAGAGUUUUCUCGCCGGCCACUUU